Molecule: long non-coding RNA, 755 nt
Filed under: Gallus gallus (chicken)
Lineage: Eukaryota; Metazoa; Chordata; Aves; Galliformes; Phasianidae
Description: long non-coding RNA NONGGAT005600
Source: RNAcentral
CCGGCUUCCCAGGGGAUCUCAACCAACAAUUCCUCAAAGAGGGAUGACACCGUGCAACAGAGCCCAGUGCAAACCCAACGCCAUCAGCUGCAGCCCCAGCUGCAAUGAAGUCUUGGACGUCUUCCCAUCUCUACAUCACCCCGAGAAGCUCCGGCUUCCCACCUGAGGUCAGCACUGCCCCACGCUUCCACUCGCAGCCGUACCCAUUGGAUUCCUGGAGAGGAACCACCGGAAUGGGGUGAAAAAUUGGCAGCAGACAGAAAGUACAUGGGCAAUCGCAUUAUAUACACACAAAGGAGUCAUAAAAAUUCCAGGAUGACGGAACAAAAUCCUUACAGAGCUCCACGGAUAAAAUACAACCGCGUUGGAAGGAGUUGGAACGGUCCACGGAGGGAGCACAGUGGCUGCAGCUCAUCGCAUGGAGAAACCCCUUCAUCCUCCAGUCAAUGAUCCCAUGGGGUCCCAACAAGGGGAGAGUCCACGGUGACAAACCACGGUGCUGCCAAUGUCCCCGAGGAGCCUUGGGAAGGGAGGAAAUCAAAAGCGCUUCCAGUCGAGAGAGGGUUUUGCUCUUCAGUUGUAGGGAAGAUAUUCCAAACCCAAACCACAAAGCAAAUAUCGUUAAGGGAGGCCGUGGUUUUGCUCGUUGGCUUUUUAGGGGGAUGUUUUUCAUCAGAAACGGCUGUUUAGUCUGCAGAGGGACUCAUGGAGGGGGCUGAGCAGUGCCCUGUGCUCUGCCCUGUGCAUGGCCAUGA